This 69-nucleotide transfer RNA is filed under the name Marmota marmota marmota (Alpine marmot). It matches the Rfam family "tRNA". From Rfam's summary of the family: Transfer RNA (tRNA) molecules are approximately 80 nucleotides in length. Their secondary structure includes four short double-helical elements and three loops (D, anti-codon, and T loops). Lineage: Eukaryota; Metazoa; Chordata; Mammalia; Rodentia; Sciuridae. RNAcentral also lists the same sequence under 3 other names. The record is from Rfam by way of RNAcentral.
GGGGUUGUAGCUCAGAGGAAGAGCACUUGCCUUGCAUGUGUGAGGCACUGGGUUCAAUUCUCAGCACCA